AUUAAUGAAUCUUUCAAGUAAUCAUUGCAAACUAUAACGAAACUACCCUCCGGAAUCGAGAUGAGUGUUCAUGUUUUAACAACUGGUUACUGGCCAACAUAUCCACCAAUGGAUGUCCGCCUUCUCCAUGAAUUGAAUGUUUAUCAGGAUAUAUUUAAAGAGUUCUACUUGAGCAAAUAUAGCGGUAGGCGAUUAAUGUGGCAGAAUUCAUUAGGUCACUGCGUCUUGAAAACAGAAUUUGCAAAGGGAAAGAAAGAACUGGAUGUUUCCUUAUUUCAGUAACACAAUGGGAGUGGAAUGUUUCGUUGUAAGAAACAAGCGUAUCGAGGAGAAGAUCGUGAAGGUCAACAAAAGCCAUUCCCGUGGGAAGCACAACAGUCAACGCCGUUAGUACAUUCAUUUUAACUUUAAAAGUGUCGCAACGUGCUGAAAUUUAAUAAAUUACAAAAAAGAAGAACGUGUCUGGUGGAUCAACUAGUUCAAUUUCCGAUCUGCUUUUGAGACGAUGUAUUACCCUUUAUUUCUUUGCAAAAGAAGGGGAUGACUGUAACAUGACUGUGACUAAAGAAGACAAGCAUUUACUGAUCAAAGUGAACUUCGAACGAGGUUUGGGACAUAAAUUCAGACCAGAAUCCGGAACAUGUAUCGACCUCUCAACAUUAGAGGAAUAAGAACUUAUAAAUGUUAGUAAUAGGUCAUGUUGCAGCGUAAUAGGUUUUUAAUAGUUCAAAUCACCUAACGGGUCAGAUUGCAUCUGGGAGAAUCAAAUUAGAGGUUUGUACACGUCGCAUUGUGUGGGCCUACAGGUUAAGUGGUCUGAUCUAUGGCCGAUUUUGGAAUGCCCGCCUCCCUUACCGGCAUCGACCUCAAAGACGGUAGUUGUAGUUCGUGAAGAAGGGCGGUGGCGGCUAUAGGGCUUCAACAACAACCACAUCCGCAGUGGCGGCGAACAUUCAUGAUGAUUGUGGUUUACAACGCUGGUGGUGGUAAGGACGUAGCUGGUGACAAUCGCAAUGGAAACGGGUCACGGCUACGGUUUUCUGACGCUAUUCCGGUAACCAUGUUAGCUUUUCAUGUUUUCCUUGGCCGGAGCUUCAUUUGUUGCAUACUCCAGCUACUUUUCUUGCAUACUCCAAUUUAUUACAACAUAGGUGACGAUUGUUGAGCGGUUGGAGUCCUUUCUAGCUAGCCACGGGUUUAAGAUACAGUCGUUGCUGCAAGAGUGGUUGUCCCCUCUCCAUUUUAAUGAGUGGGCCUACAGAUUAAGUGGUCUAAUCUAUUGCUGAUUUUGGAAUGCAUACACAUUUCCUUUGUGCGACCCGAUAUUUUAAUAAGUGGUCGAUUUGGGCUAAAAUUUAUCCCACGUGAGCGAUAAAAGAUUUAGCUAGCCAUAUAGAGAACGGGUCGAAUAGCUCAUGUAUUCGCACAAACUUGGUAUUGCAAGGUCGGAUCAAAAUGUGAAAUAAGGUGAAGGGUAGCUGGGGAAUUGGAGAACAAAACAGAUAAUCCACACUUACUUAAUUCUUUUGAUAUCCGUUUGUGUAGAUUAGUUACUUAUUUUGUCAAUAGA
Molecule: long non-coding RNA, 1570 nt
Organism: Helianthus annuus (common sunflower)
Lineage: Eukaryota; Viridiplantae; Streptophyta; Magnoliopsida; Asterales; Asteraceae
Exons: 8
Source: RefSeq, a predicted model, not a curated record